Molecule: transfer RNA, 73 nt
Filed under: Amycolatopsis bullii
Lineage: Bacteria; Bacillati; Actinomycetota; Actinomycetes; Pseudonocardiales; Pseudonocardiaceae
Description: tRNA-Thr
Source: RNAcentral
GCGUGCGCUGGCCGAGUUCGGGACGGCGCUGGUCACGCCGUGGAAAUCCGUGGUGCUGCCCGACGUGCCCGCC